UUUUUAACUCUCUACGCUCUUCUUUCUUUGUAAUUUAUUUCUUGCACAACUUUGAAACCAACGCCACUUCGUUUUAGAGGAGUAAUAGUAGAAGAAAAAGAAGGAAGAUGAGAGGACUGUCUGCGGUCUUCACCCUGAUAGAGCAUCUCUUCUUUCUCCCACUAUUUUUUCCCAUAAUUUAAAUGGUUAAUUUGACAUGCUCUGUUUUUUUUUUUUAAUCUAUUUUUUCUGUUUUUUAUUGUUGUGUUUGGUUUUGGGGACAGAACUUCAAAGCAUAAAAGCCCUAGAACCAUCUGUAAACCAAAAUCUACAAUUUAUUUAUUUAUUUAUUUUCAUUUUACUUUCUACUUCUAAUUUGUUUUGUGUUUUCUUCAUUACAGAUAUGCCUUUCUUUUUUGGUUUUCAGGAAACAAAAGUCUCUUCUCAUGAAAGCUUGCAGCAAGUUGUCGUCCUAGCACAGAUUCUAAUAUCAACGUUGAUCGAAUAUGGGCUCAAAUUGCAAAUUUGGAAUUACUAAGUUGUAAGUGUAAAACCACAUAAGUGAUUCAUUUUAAUAUACAUACCUGUUUAGGACGUUUUUCAGUGAUUCAUUAAGUGUUGUUUCUUUUACACGUGAUGUUUUGUUGGCCCAACUUUAGCCCAAAACACCGACUCCUUCAAGAAGGUCACUCUUUUCCUCUCUCUCCAAAAAAAUCGGAUCAUAUAUUUGUGAAUCAUUUUAAUUUUUAUUUAGUUUUACUAAUUCGUUUAUUUUCAAAUUACUUUUAGUUUGAGAAUUGUUGGUUUCAAAAGUCAAUUUGGAUUAUAAGACUCUAAUCUGCACCUAAGAAUUUGUUAAAUUGUUUGUUCGUUUUUCAGAUUUCAAUUUGCCUCCAAUAAGGUGGUAUUGACAACUUUCAUUGUGAUUUAAUGGUUGGGAUGGUGCACACGAAAGCUUCUUCGAGAGAAACUUGGCCAUUGUUGGUGGCAAUGUACGGUUAGUGAGGACGGUUAUGACUUGUGAGGUGAUUGGAGCAACGGUAUUCCAUAUUACCUUUCUGUCACUCUUAAUUUCUUGCUUAAGGUAAUAAAAGGUUUCCACCUUCUGUUGGGUGUGAAAGGAGUGUGGGCUGUUUUUUAUUUUUUGGUUUUGAUGGGUUUUCCCAACUCUUUCAUGUUAGAGCUUAUUGCAUUGAUAUUAGCAAUGGUCAUGAAUUUUUUUGGGGGAAGGGUUUGUGUAUAACAUGACUGAUAAAAUUCCUCAAUGAAGGAGUGGUACUGGAAUAAAUAUAUAUAUAUAUAUAUAUAUAUAUUAAAAAGGAGUUGUAGCUGUAGUUUCCUUUAUUUAAUUUAAUUUUUUUGUUAGCCCACCAAGGAGGUUAAAUUUAAUCUCAAACCAUUGAUAUAUAUGUAGAACAAGAUGCUUUUUUUUUUUUUUCAAGUUAUCCCAUUUAGUUAUAAAAUCUACUAAAAGUUGAAACUAUCUAUGUUUGGUAUGGCUUUUGGAGCCUAGAUAUGUCUUCUCCAGCAAUCACUUCAGCCCAGAGAUGUUUGCCAAAGCUUUGUAGGAGUUUCUUUAUGUUGUCUUGCUCUGAGUCUCUCACCCUCAGUUCGUCUUCUUCUCCCUUCAAUUAUAACCUUCUUAGAUGCCUAUUUAUUUAUUUAUUUAUUUGAAUAACAUAUUGGUAAGCUAUCUCAGUAAGUGCAAUAUAUAUAUAUAUAUAUAUAUAUUAAA
Molecule: long non-coding RNA, 1714 nt
Organism: Quercus lobata
Lineage: Eukaryota; Viridiplantae; Streptophyta; Magnoliopsida; Fagales; Fagaceae
Exons: 3
Source: RefSeq, a predicted model, not a curated record